This is an RNA transcript of Lates calcarifer (barramundi perch), 3750 nucleotides long. It is a transcript of the gene named TAFA chemokine like family member 5a, with no coding region annotated. The transcript is spliced from 5 exons. The record is from RefSeq and is a predicted model, not a curated record. Lineage: Eukaryota; Metazoa; Chordata; Actinopteri; Centropomidae.
CAGUUCUUUUUUGUUUGGAAUAUGAUGAAAUUUUAGGCCACAUGUGUAAUAGGUUUCGGGGGGUUGUUGAAUAUUCUUAGAGAAGGAGCCUGAGGCUGGGCUAACCUAAAGCCUAUUGCUUGUCUCAAUAACUGGGAGGCAGAGUUUUCCUCAUUACAGUUUUUUUUUUUUUUUUUUUUUUUUUUUGGUCAUGUCCAGAGAUGAAGUGCAGGACAAUCCACCAAAAAUCAGCUCUUUGAAAAUAUUUAAGCCAGAAAAAGUGUAGAAUCUUAAUGAAGUGAAUGUUACAAUGGAGCAUAAAAUACUCUCUGAGUUUGGCUUAAUGCCAUUUGAUGAUGAUCACUUGCAACCCACGGUUUGCUCACUUUUAUUUAUCAGUGGAAGCAUUUUAUUAUAGCAGCUCUAUCUCGUGCUUUGUAGCUGGAGGAGAUUAUUUGGGGGAGUUGUGACGUAACCUGGAGCUAAGCAGAGGGGGGGAAGUCGAUUUCGUUUGAGGAACACACACAGGGAUGGAGAGAGAGAGAGAUGUGCCCACAUUCCUGCCUGCAACUGUUCUGAUCUUUGUAGAUGAUCUAAUGAGAGGACAAACUAGGCAGAAAUAACCUGCGCAGCCAGGUCUUUGCUCGGUGUGGUGUUUCAUUUGUCUUCAAAGAAAAGUCGGGUGGGGGGGUGAUCUGUCGGCCACAGAGGCUUUUUUGGAGGGGGGGGUGUUUCCAGCAGGAGCGCAGAUGAAGAAGAAGAACAGGGGGAUUAUUCCGGGAGACGCAUGGUUUAUGAAACUGGCUGUUCUCGUGCGUAAAUGGCAAGAGUUGCAUUGGAGUGAAUCAAAGGGGAAAGCGAGAGAGAGCGAGGAGGAAGGAGAGAGAGAGAAAACAGAGACAGAGGGAGAGAGAGAGUGAGAGGGGGGAAAGUGACGGAGCGACGGAGCAAUAUAGUGGAGAACUGGAAGAGAGAGAGAGAGUGAGAGAGAGAGGGAGGGAAAACGAGAGCUGCGAGGCGACUUGGUCGGCAGUGUUUGCCUCUGCCUCUCCAGCUAUGGGAGAGACAUGUGCGUAACAUGCAGCGGGGAGCUGUGAUCAUCAUCUGCGCGCCGCAUCGCCGUGUGGACCGCGCCGUGCGCACUCGAAGACGGAGCCGCACUGAAUAAGGGGCGCAGCCCGCUCCGCCGGACCUGUCGCGAGCGAGACUCUAACGGUUAAGCCGACGAGAGACUCUUGAAGAAGAAGAGGGAGAAGAAAAGAAAAGAAAGCAAGAGGGAGCGGAAAGAUGUCAGCCCCUCAGACUGUGAUUGGGGGUUAAUCGCCCCCCGUGUGUUUGGAGCCACUCUGACGCACCGGGCGGCGAAAGCGAGCGCGCGUCUACACAUAUUUUUGGUUGUUUUACGGAUUCCCAGCCCUCUUUAUCACGCCCAAACCCGGACUAUCAAGUGAGGAUUUUGCAGGAAAGGUGGCGGGGAUGUUGAAUUACACCAGUGCGUGUCUGUGAGCUGAGGUGGAGUCUCUCUCUCCCGCUGCACGGCUUGUCUCGGUCCGCCACGAACCCUCCUACGCCAGGAUGCAGCUGCUCAGAGUUGCGUGGGCACUGACCGGAGCGGCGAUUUGCUGCUUUCUCAUUCUCCUCAUUCACUCCCGCCUGCUCAAAGAAGGCCAGCUGGCAGCGGGGACAUGUGAGAUUGUGACGCUGGACAGGGACAGCAGCCAACCACGGCGGACCAUCGCCAGGCAGACGGCCCGCUGUGCCUGUAAGAAGGGCCAGAUCGCUGGAACUACAAGAGCCAGGCCCGCCUGUGUGGACGCUGGUAUUGUUCGGAAAAAGCAGUGGUGUGAGAUGGUGCCAUGUUUGGAGGACGAAGGUUGUGACCUGUUAGUCAAUAAAUCUGGCUGGACUUGUACACAGCCCGGAGGCCGAGUCAAAACCACCACGGCUCUAUGACGCGACAAGAGUCCCCCUCGACACUCUUGCACUAUGGAGAGCAUUGAUGACCCCUUGACAGACAGCCAAACACCAUCUACCACCAACACCACCACCAACAACAACAGCAGCAACAACAACAUCACAACAACUCCACCCAAACCCUGGUCCCACAAAGGCAGGAAGCAACACAAGAGCACCAGGGGCCUCUUGGAGGCAGCAAGGUCUCAUAACACAGCCAGAGGCGGGAAAACCAGGGAGUGACUGUUUGAGGGAGUAAGCUCUCCCCUGGACACUGAACAAACUACUCACUGUAAAACACUUCCUAUUUCCUGUGACCAGCUCCUCCGGGUUUGUGACUGCUCCCUCCUGCUAUCUGUCGUUGGGUCAACAUAUUGCAUCCACCUCCUCUCCACUCUAUCUGCCUGCUCUGUGAAAUUAGCAGCGCCUGCUCGUGCCACGGAGGAUCGGACACCUUAAAAUCCCACAAAUGGUUUUUGCCUCACUGGAAGUCCUCUGUUUGGAGCUACUAACUGCUUUAAAUAAAGAGGAUUUUCCACUUCUGUCUCCUAGCCUCUAGAGCAGGAGUUCCAGAGCAUAGAUGGGAUCAUUACAGACCAGACCCUGUUGCUUCUCGGACCACCUCACGAGGCCGUAAAACAAACUCGAACUGAGCGCUCUCUGCUGUGAAUAGGCCUUCUGCUGGAGUAAACCUCCCAUAUUUUUAUAGACCAAAGAGCAAAACAACAAAUACGAUCAUUAUUACAGAGCGGACCAUCUGGCAGACACACAGAGACUUUGUGAACUUGCUGCUUGUGUCGCCACCAGCCAAUGACUUGCCCCCCCACCCCAACCCCCACACCCCACCCCCACAGAGACACGGUGCACAAGAGGACAAACCCCGAGCUCCAGCAACACAUGUACUGUGCACAAUCAAAAGGAGUACUUUUAGAACCUUCCAGACAUUUUUUUCUCAGACUGAGCCCACCACUGUAUUUUGGAACUGGAGAUAUAGGUACUACAUACGUAUAACUGUGUAUCAAAAAAAAAAAAAAAAAAAGGAAAAAAAAAAAAAAGAAAAGAAAAAAAUCUGAUUUGCAUUUUUCAGUAGCUACGGUUGGGACAGCUUGCAGAAGAAUUGUUGGGUUGGUCACGGAUAAGGAGCGCAAAUCAUAUCAGAGAAAUGAUGAAUAUUUACAGAGAGUAUAAAUGCUGUUGAGUCUGAAAAGAAGGAGGAAAGAAAUGUCAUUAAAUGUAUUUUGAAAGGCCCUAAAAAGUUAUAUAUUUAACAGUUUUAUAUGUUGUACCUUUGUAGAGAAGCUUAUUGGACUUAAAAUGUGGUCACAAUGGCAGUUUAGUAGGAUGUGAACAAAUGCUGUUGUUCUCAUGACUGCUGGCUUGUAGUCCCAGGUUUUCUGUUCACACCUCAGUAGCCGCUUUCUUUUCAUGAUCAUCAACAAGUCACUGUCUAUCAGAACCAUUCAUGGAAAAAAAAGGAAAGUGACACAAUUUAUUGAGGACUGAUCUGCAGCCAACUGAACAUUGUAAAUCUAUGGUAGUCAGUGGAAGCCAUUGAAAUCUGCUAAUUUGCUAUGAUAUUGUAUUGUACACGGUGUGGAAUACUGACUCAUUUCCUCUCUAUGGGUUUUGAUCUCUUAAUUUAUUUUUGUGCUUGUGUUUGUUCGCACAAAUCGGGCCUCUCUCCAACAGCGAGGAAUACAAUGAGGAGAGAGAGAGAAAAGAGAAAGAAGAGGAAGCGUUGCAGAAGUAUUAGAGUCAUUUACAUACAUUUUUUUAUCAUGAAAUAUUUUAAGAAUAAAUUAAAUACAUGAAAAGAAA